UCCAAGAGGCUUUGCUUCCAUCAACUCCAAGGCCUUCCCCUGCCUUGCCUUCCAUUGAUCUCUUCCCCAAUGUCAAAAAUCCUAUUGCCCCAUCACCCAGUCAAAAGUAGGAGACCCGCACCUUACAACUCUUCCUUCAGAUCGGGUAAUUGUGAACAGACAUUGGAGCUAGUCCUUUGCCCACCUCCCAGGCAUUCUGGCUUCUCUGUGUAACAACUCUGGCUGUCCUGAAAUUCGCUUGGUAGACCAGGCUGCCCCUGGAACCCAUAGAGUGUUGGAAUUCAAGGUAAAGCAGAAAAUUACCAACCCACCACAUCUGUUUGAGUCAUCUAGAAGAGCCUUCCAGCCUCUGCAACAGAAGGCCCAUGCCAGCUGGCCAAUAAAAUUCCUG
Long non-coding RNA from Mesocricetus auratus (golden hamster), 391 nucleotides. RefSeq lists it as uncharacterized. NCBI's taxonomy places the organism in Eukaryota, Metazoa, Chordata, Mammalia, Rodentia, Cricetidae. The transcript is spliced from 3 exons. The record is from RefSeq and is a predicted model, not a curated record.